CCUGCUCAAUGUAAAAUAAAUAGCCGCAGUUUCUGUGCUAAGGUAGCAUAAUAAUUUGUCUUUUAAUUAAAGAAUAGAAUGAAAGGACGCACGAAUUAUUAACUAUUCACUUUUUACAUAAUAAAAUUAAUAUAAAAGUAAAAAAGCUUUUAACUAUUAAAAAGACGACAAGACCCUUUAGAACUUAACUAUUGUUAAGCUGGGGUGGCUAUUUAAUUAAAACUUAAAAUUUAACAACUAAUAAAUAAAAUUUACUUAACCAAGUUACCUAAGGGAUAACAGUGCAAUAUCAUACUAAAGUUCUAAUAAAAUAUAAAAUUUGCAACCUCGAUGUUGAAUUAUUAAACCUAAUUUAAGUAAAACUAAAUAAAGCAAGUCUGUUCGACUUUUAAUUUAAUACAU
This 402-nucleotide ribosomal RNA is filed under the name Merizocera sp. 185 FL-2018. Its description in RNAcentral is "partial 16S ribosomal RNA". It matches the Rfam family "Bacterial large subunit ribosomal RNA", at positions 1858 to 2601 of the family's 2925-position model. Lineage: Eukaryota; Metazoa; Arthropoda; Arachnida; Araneae; Ochyroceratidae. The record is from RNAcentral.